UACGUAGGUGGCAAGCGUUAUCCGGAAUUACUGGGCGUAAAGCGUGCGUAGGCGGCUGCUUAAGUCAGAUGUGAAAGCCCCGGGCUUAACCUGGGAACGGCAUUUGAUACUGGGCAGCUCGAGUUGAGUAGAGGAGAGGGGAAUUUCCGGUGUAGCGGUGAAAUGCGUAGAGAUCGGAAGGAACACCAGUGGCGAAGGCGCCUCUCUGGACUCAAACUGACGCUGAGGUACGAAAGCGUGGGUAGCAAACAGG
RNAcentral lists this ribosomal RNA (253 nucleotides) under uncultured bacterium. RNAcentral describes it as "partial 16S ribosomal RNA". It matches the Rfam family "Bacterial small subunit ribosomal RNA", at positions 524 to 776 of the family's 1533-position model. The record is from RNAcentral.